Molecule: long non-coding RNA, 2374 nt
Organism: Callithrix jacchus (white-tufted-ear marmoset)
Lineage: Eukaryota; Metazoa; Chordata; Mammalia; Primates; Cebidae
Source: Ensembl
AUAAACAUCGUAGUUUCCCUCAACGUGAGCACUCAAAAGAUAGGUUACAGUAUUUAAAAUAAUUUUAAAACAACCACAACCCCAAACCACCGAAUUGGAAAGGUAUUACCUGAAAAUACCCAACAAUAAGGUAAUGAUUUUACAAUGAUGCUAAAUAUGUAUGUAAUAUAGAUGAAACUUUUUUUAAAGACCAUUUUUCUAAAUGAGUCAACUUGCUAUGUAGGAAGAUAUUAUGUGGAUUGUGUGUUUGUAGAAUUUGAAUUCCACUUUUCACAAGCACUGUUAGCAUAGUUUGAUGAUCAGGACACAAACCCAGGAGAUUAACCCACACGGGAUAAAUAGCAGCAUUACGUAGCUUUGAAAUGAUUCCAAACACAUAGUUUGCUACAAGAGUGAGUGAUUCGUGUUUAGCCGUAACUUAGAACAUACUCCCCCAUCCACUAGGAAUGUGAAUUCACCCUUCACCAGAUCCCACAUGUAUGAACUUGACGUAAACAUCACCUCUCCUAGCUAAUGUGACAUUACACCUUAUCAAACACCAUAUAUAAGUUACUGACCUCAACUACAGGAUUUCGAAAUACAUAUAAACUCAAGAAUUUGCAAGAUACUUUGAGAGCUCAGAGGGUGGCAGAUCAUACACUCUGUCAGCCACUUCCCUUAUCACUACCAGCUCAGGCUGCAACAGGGCCACACCCUGUUAGCCUUUAAGCUUUGAAACCUAUCCACCAACACUGGCACCACCCUCUAGCAUCAUGAGACCUUGCAUAUUCUCACAGAUCUUCAAUAUGUUGGACACCAUCUUUCCCAGGAACCUCAGCCUUCAAAAGCUCAGCGAGAUCCAGUUCUUGUCUCAAGACCAGGAAGAAUUAAGUUUGCAGACACUUGAAGAGUGAGUAGAGUAGAAUUUAUUAAGUGAGAGGAAAGCUCUCAGAAAAGAGAGGGGUCCUGAAAGUGGGUUCCCAGUUGCCUGCUUCACAGCUGAAUACAAGGGAUUUUACAUACAAGUUAGGGGUUAGGUUCCCUAUUUGUAUAAGGUACAAAUUCCUGGUGGCUCCAUCCCAUUCCCCUAGUAUGCAUUUGGGCCCUUAGUCCACUGUGGGCAUGUUUAGGCAAGAUCCUGUGUAAGUUCCCUUAUCUGUAGGAAACACAGAUGGGAGGUUCUCUAGACACCCUUCCCUUACUGCCUGCCUAAAGCAAGCUGGCUAACUCCAUUCAAUGUAAUUCACGAAAUCAUACUUUUAUCUUUUUAUUUUGAACCAUACAAAACACAGAGCCAGUUUCUACUGGUCACUCUUUCCACAGCUUCUUCAAUAAACUUUAUUAUGAUAUAUAAAACUAAAUGUGAAUAGCUAAUACAGAUCAGAAUCAGGCUAUAUAAUGGAAUUCAUUUAACUUGGAUUCCUCAAAUCAGUCUAGCCUUGUAGGUACUCAAAAAUUUUUGCCUGUUUUAUUUUUGGACUAGCCAUGGAGAAAGAAAGGUGAACACUGGAGCCCAGCUAUCUCUUUCUCUUUUGCUGAUUUCCUUAUCUCUGUGCUUUUUAAUAAGGUAACAUACAAAAUGCAACACACUGUUUUACAAAACUCUAUAGUCAUAAGGCUUAGAACAACUAUGGACCACUCAAAAAGUCUACAGUAAUUUGCAUCUAGCACAUAAAUGAUAGGAGAGCAGGAUUGAUCAUGAGGUUUCUGAAACAUAGCUGGUUCUCUGGAGUUAGAGGAUUGUUUUAACUAUUCAACAAUCAACCAUUUAUUGAGCACCUCUUAUGUACCGGACAGCCCUCUUGAGAUCUUCUGAAGCAUUAAGCAAAUGAUAAUGCUCAAAAAAAUACCUAACCACUGCCUCGUGUCAAAUAGACCACAAAACAGAACCUAGCACAAACAACCAGAGCUGGAUCUAAAUGAAUGCAGCAAAACUGGGAAAUGGAGGGAAGCAAUCUGGGAUUUCACACAAAGAAUAGUUCUGAUGCAAAAUCUUUUACAGUGGCAAAUGGUUUCCAUGGUAAACUAUGAAUGAUACAUAAUUUGGGGUUCAACUUAAAGGCCAGAUGUGGUGGCUCAUGCCUGUAAUCCCAGCAUUUUGGGAGGCCAAAGCAGGAGGAUCAACUGGUGAUAUAUGAGUUAAGUUGAAAUCACUUAGGCAGAUAGUAAGGGUAUGGGAGCCCUUGGUAAGGCUUUUUUCUUUAAUGAAAAGCAGCCUCAAAUCAUUUACUGACAAAGAGCAGCCUGUGAAGUCGAGCUGUAGACAUAGACAAGCAAGCUGGGAGCUUGCACUGGUGAAUGCCAGCAGGAACUAGGGACUAGACAUGUUCAGGAUGGCAGCUCCAUCUUUCCUUCGCUUUGUCAGCCACGUGUACAGUAAGAAGCAAUCAACGGG